RNAcentral lists this long non-coding RNA (1275 nucleotides) under Felis catus (domestic cat). Its description in RNAcentral is "lncRNA (ENSFCAG00000046998.1)". Lineage: Eukaryota; Metazoa; Chordata; Mammalia; Carnivora; Felidae. The record is from RNAcentral.
GAUCCCGCCCAGAGCUCAGGGUCGCUAAACCCGCCUCCGAGGUCGGGCCAGGCCCGCAGACCGGAUUUCAGACGCUCUGCUAGAGCCUGGCCCAAGGAAGAGCCGAGCGCCUUCCAGAGACAAGGGACUGUCGGUCCACGCCGCCCUUUUGCGCCAGGGACUAGAGUGGCUUUGAGCCGCGGACCCGCUCGGGGACAGAAGCGGCAGGGCGCCUGGAGGGCAGAGCGAAGCCCCGCGCUCCCGACACCCCGGCAAGGCCGGCGACCACCGCAGCGUCCCCGCUCCACUUGCACACUUCAGAAAGCAGCCUGGACCACUGGGGCGGGGGCCGAGCUCCCGGGGCGGGGCCUCGCGAGACCCAAACAAGCCCCACGUGGCAGGGGCGGGGCCGCCGCGGGGACGUCACGGCGCGCGCGUGCGCGUGUGCCGGCACGCGCGGGCGUACCCUUGCCGGGGGCCGUAAAGCGCGGAAGGUCGCGGUCUCCCGCUUCCCCGGAACUUUUUACUCCCUCCGCCCCGCCCCCUUCCCAUUCCCAGUGCCCCGUUUCUGGCGGCGGGACCCCCGGCAACUGUUGUGGCUGCUGUCCCGCUGCCGCCGGGGUGCUGCUGACGGCGGAGCCCGCGGCGGCUCGUGAGUUUGAAUUGGGGAGAAUCUCCUCUUUGGCCGAGUGGGAGCACAUCUCCGAGCUGCUGACUGGCAGACGUGAUGUUUUCCCGGUUGCUGUCGGUGGCCCGGAGACAAAGGACCGGCCGAGGAUGGCAGAACUGGUCGUCGGGGAGAAGCGGUGCGCCAGCUGCCGAGGCGCAUUCUGUCGCCCUGCCUGCCCAGGCACACGUGGUCAUCUGUGGCGGUGGAAUCAUGGGCACAUCCGUGGCCUAUCACCUCUCCAAGAUGGGCUGGAAGGAUAUUGUCCUUUUGGAGCAGGGCAGGCUGGCCGCUGGCUCUACGAGGUUCUGUGCCGGCAUCCUGAGCACCGCCAGGCACUUGACCAUCGAGCAGAAGAUGGCAGACUAUUCCAACAAACUCUACCAGCAGUUAGAGCAAGAAACAGGGAUCCAAACAGAGCCCCUGCUGAGUUCCCUCCUGCGUCGGAUGCCAGAACUGGAGACUCUGGAGAUCGUGAAGUUGGUCACCUGCCUCGAGACCUGCACCCCAGACAUGAGGUGCAUCAUGGGCGAGUCUCCUGCAGUGCAGGGCUACUAUGUCCUAGUGGGAGUGAACUCUGCUGGCCUGUCGUUUGGAGGAGGGGCUUGAAGGUUGUCAGAGGAUGGUGA